GGGAUCUCAGUGGCCAGCUGAUCCAUUUAGGGCAGGACUCACCCUUAGGGAUGGUCCCUCAGUCUCUGCUGAAAUAAAUUCCCAAGGCUUUCAUAGGAAGUGGACAUGACGGAAACAUCACGGAAGACUCUAGCAUGUGAGGUCGACGAUACCGAGAAGAGCUCCCAGCACACAGGAGCGGACUGGCUCUGUGGUUGAGGGUAGGGCAGCCCAGAACAGAGAGACGCUGAGAAAAAAAAAAGAUAUUGUCUGUUUUCUCCAGAGCUUAUUUCUCUUUCAGAUUACAGCCCAGGUGAACAAGGAGGCUUGCCGGCCCUAAUCUUGUGGGCUGCGUCCCGCGGGCUGGUGUUGGCGGGCAUCCUGCAGUCUUCUAUUUCAGGCUCCACGGCCUCAGAUCCAUCAACUAUCUCUCACGCAACAGGAUUCUUCUACCACUGUUCUUAUGGAAUUUGCC
This 454-nucleotide long non-coding RNA is filed under the name Mustela putorius furo (domestic ferret). RNAcentral describes it as "lncRNA (ENSMPUG00000026487.1)". Lineage: Eukaryota; Metazoa; Chordata; Mammalia; Carnivora; Mustelidae. The record is from RNAcentral.